Molecule: unclassified non-coding RNA, 466 nt
Filed under: Hevea brasiliensis (rubber tree)
Lineage: Eukaryota; Viridiplantae; Streptophyta; Magnoliopsida; Malpighiales; Euphorbiaceae
Source: RNAcentral
AUUUCCACCCACUUAUUCUUUCCAGCCUGCGAGCACCCUAUUUUGAAAAUUCCAGAGUCAAGCUUUUUCUGCAACUCAUCCUUCGAGAUGCUACCCUCUGCUGGCACAGCCAAGAACAGCUGUACUUCAGGCGAUCCUUCAGCAGCAUACUUUUUCCCUUCCUCAGUAAGUACCCAUGUCUCCCUCUUAAUGUCCUGAGUGUCAACGAAGCGAAAACCGUGCAGGCUUUUGAUAACAUUGACGAUCUCAGCGUGGUCGAUUCCCCUUUCUGCGGCGAACUCGCCGGAAUCAGAGAUUUCUUCGUGAUUCUCUAAGUAGCCCAAAAUCGCCUCCUCUGCCAUUAUCUCUCGAUUGCAAGGGUUCUGUGUCUCCAAUGGGGCAAUAGGCUAGUUUCGACGUAGCCACCACAGCAUUUCACUCUACAGGAGGAUGACGCAAAUGAAAUGCUUGCACAUAGAGCUAGGGC